CCUGACUGCUAUCGGAUUGAUACUAAGCCAUGCGAGUCAUUGUAGCAAUACAAGGCAGACGGCUCAGUAACGCGUAGUCAACCUAACCUAUGGACGGGAAUAACCUCGGGAAACUGAGAAUAAGGCCCGAUAGAACACUAUAUCUGGAAUGGUUUGUGUUCCAAAUGAUUUAUCGCCGUAGGAUGGGACUGCGGCCUAUCAGUUUGUUGGUGAGGUAAUGGCCCACCAAGACUAUUACAGGUACGGGCUCUGAGAGGAGUAGCCCGGAGAUGGGUACUGAGACACGGACCCAGGCCCUAUGGGGCGCAGCAGGCGAGAAACCUUUGCAAUGUGCGCAAGCACGACAAGGUUAAUCCGAGUGUUUCCUGUUAAAGGAAUCUUUUGUUAGUUCUAAAACCACUGAUGAAUAAGGGGUGGGCAAGUUCUGGUGUCAGCCGCCGCGGUAAAACCAGCACCUCAAGUGGUCAGGAUGAUUAUUGGGCCUAAAGCAUCCGUAGCCGGCGCUGUAAGUUUUCGGUUAAAUCUGUACGCUCAACGUACAGGCUGCCGGGAAUACUGCAGCGCUAGGGAGUGGGAGAGGUAGACGGUACUUGGUAGGAAGGGGUAAAAUCCUUUGAUCUAUUGAUGACCACCUGUGGCGAAGGCGGUCUACCAGAACACGUCCGACGGUGAGGGAUGAAAGCUGGGGGAGCAAACCGGAUUAGAUACCCGGGUAGUCCCAGCUGUAAACUAUGCAAACUCAGUGAUGCAUUGGCUUGUGGCCAAUGCAGUGCUGCAGGGAAGCCGUUAAGUUUGCCGCCUGGGAAGUACGCACGCAAGUAUGAAACUUAA
Molecule: ribosomal RNA, 831 nt
Filed under: uncultured archaeon
Lineage: Archaea
Description: bacterial SSU rRNA
Rfam family: Archaeal small subunit ribosomal RNA
Source: RNAcentral